GGGGUUAGGGCUGGAGCUAUGGUUAGGGUUAGUUGUGGAGCUAGGGUUAGGGUUAGGGUUGGAGCUAGGGUUAGGGUUAGGGUUGGAGCUAGGGUUAGGGUUAGGGUUAGGAAAAUGUGAAGAUUUUCCCAAAAUCUGAAGAUUUUCCUAAGUGCGGACCCAAUUUUUCACCUUCCAGAAUUGUGUUAGGAGCACGUUUCAGGCCACGGGGAGUCCAUAGAACCUGAUUGUGGGUGAAGUUUUCGGGGGUUGGAGCUUUGGGGCAGGAUAUAGGGAUAUGUGCCACUUUUGACAUGCCGGUUCAUUGCCUUUCCCAUCGAUGAACCGGGCUGAGAUUUGGUCUACCCCCCAUUUUCGGGUAUGCUGAAUCUAGAAAUAGUAAUGAACCAGCGAUCGGACAUUCCUAUCAAAAGUUAUGGCGAAGUGAAAAUUUCCCAUUGAAAAUGAAUGGGAGCGGAAAAUGGCCAAAGUCAGUGUUUGCAAGUGUUGUACUUGUCUGGAACUGUUGAAAAUGCAUUGUGAGCACGUUUCAGGCCAUUUCCUGUCAUUUGAGGGCGACUUUGCAAAAAGGGGUGUCAUACCGCUUUUGACCAGAGGUGGUGCUGCACAUGUCCGACGGUUAGGGUUAGGGUGAGACUUUGGGCAAGGGGUUAGGGUUAGGGCUGGAGCUAUGGUUAGGGUUAGUUGUGGAGCUAGGGUUAGGGUUAGGGUUGGAGCUAGGGUUAGGGUUAGGGUUGGAGCUAGGGUUAGGGUUAGGGUUAGGAAAAUGUGAAGAUUUUCCCAAAAUCUGAAGAUUUUCCUAAGUGCGGACCCAAUUUUUCACCUUCCAGAAUUGUGUUAGGAGCACGUUUCAGGCCACGGGGAGUCCAUAGAACCUGAUUGUGGGUGAAGUUUUCGGGGGUUGGAGCUUUGGGGCAGGAUAUAGGGAUAUGUGCCACUUUUGACAUGCCGGUUCAUUGCCUUUCCCAUCGAUGAACCGGGCUGAGAUUUGGUCUACCCCCCCAUUUUCGGGUAUGCUGAAUCUAGAAAUAGUAAUGAACCAGCGAUCGGACAUUCCUAUCAAAAGUUAUGGCGAAGUGAAAAUUUCCCAUUGAAAAUGAAUGGGAGCGGAAAAUGGCCAAAGUCAGUGUUUGCAAGUGUUGUACUUGUCUGGAACUGUUGAAAAUGCAUUGUGAGCACGUUUCAGGCCAUUUCCUGUCAUUUGAGGGCGACUUUGCAAAAAGGGGUGUCAUACCGCUUUUGACCAGAGGUGGUGCUGCACAUGUCCGACGGUUAGGGUUAGGGUGAGACUUUGGGCAAGGGGUUAGGGUUAGGGUGGGCUAGGUUAGGGUUGUGGAGCUAGGGUUAGGGUUAGGGUUGGAGCUAGGGUUAGGGUUAGGGUUGGAGCUAGGGUUAGGGUUAGGGUUAGGAAAAUGUGAAGAUUUUCCCAAAAUCUGAAGAUUUUCCUAAGUGCGGACCCAAUUUUUCACCUUCCAGAAUUGUGUUAGGAGCACGUUUCAGGCCACGGGGAGUCCAUAGAACCUGAUUGUGGGUGAAGUUUUCGGGGGUUGGAGCUUUGGGGCAGGAUAUAGGGAUAUGUGCCACUUUUGACAUGCCGGUUCAUUGCCUUUCCCAUCGAUGAACCGGGCUGAGAUUUGGUCUACCCCCCCAUUUUCGGGUAUGCUGAAUCUAGAAAUAGUAAUGAACCAGCGAUCGGACAUUCCUAUCAAAAGUUAUGGCGAAGUGAAAAUUUCCCAUUGAAAAUGAAUGGGAGCGGAAAAUGGCCAAAGUCAGUGUUUGCAAGUGUUGUACUUGUCUGGAACUGUUGAAAAUGCAUUGUGAGCACGUUUCAGGCCAUUUCCUGUCAUUUGAGGGCGACUUUGCAAAAAGGGGUGUCAUACCGCUUUUGACCAGAGGUGGUGCUGCACAUGUCCGACGGUUAGGGUUAGGGUGAGACUUUGGGCAAGGGGUUAGGGUUAGGGCUGGAGCUAUGGUUAGGGUUAGUGUGGAGCUAGGGUUAGGGUUAGGGUUGGAGCUAGGGUUAGGGUUAGGGUUGGAGCUAGGGUUAGGGUUAGGGUUAGGAAAAUGUGAAGAUUUUCCCAAAAUCUGAAGAUUUUCCUAAGUGCGGACCCAAUUUUUCACCUUCCAGAAUUGUGUUAGGAGCACGUUUCAGGCCACGGGGAGUCCAUAGAACCUGAUUGUGGGUGAAGUUUUCGGGGGUUGGAGCUUUGGGGCAGGAUAUAGGGAUAUGUGCCACUUUUGACAUGCCGGUUCAUUGCCUUUCCCAUCGAUGAACCGGGCUGAGAUUUGGUCUACCCCCCAUUUUCGGGUAUGCUGAAUCUAGAAAUAGUAAUGAACCAGCGAUCGGACAUUCCUAUCAAAAGUUAUGGCGAAGUGAAAAUUUCCCAUUGAAAAUGAAUGGGAGCGGAAAAUGGCCAAAGUCAGUGUUUGCAAGUGUUGUACUUGUCUGGAACUGUUGAAAAUGCAUUGUGAGCACGUUUCAGGCCAUUUCCUGUCAUUUGAGGGCGACUUUGCAAAAAGGGGUGUCAUACCGCUUUUGACCAGAGGUGGUGCUGCACAUGUCCGACGGUUAGGGUUAGGGUGAGACUUUGGGCAAGGGGUUAGGGUUAGGGCUGGAGCUAGGGUUAGGGUUAGGGUUGGAGCUAGGGUUAGGGUUAGGGUUGGAGCUAGGGUUAGGGUUAGGGUUGGAGCUAGGGUUAGGGUUAGGGUUAGGAAAAUGUGAAGAUUUUCCCAAAAUCUGAAGAUUUUCCUAAGUGCGGACCCAAUUUUUCACCUUCCAGAAUUGUGUUAGGAGCACGUUUCAGGCCACGGGGAGUCCAUAGAACCUGAUUGUGGGUGAAGUUUUCGGGGGUUGGAGCUUUGGGGCAGGAUAUAGGGAUAUGUGCCACUUUUGACAUGCCGGUUCAUUGCCUUUCCCAUCGAUGAACCGGGCUGAGAUUUGGUCUACCCCCCAUUUUCGGGUAUGCUGAAUCUAGAAAUAGUAAUGAACCAGCGAUCGGACAUUCCUAUCAAAAGUUAUGGCGAAGUGAAAAUUUCCCAUUGAAAAUGAAUGGGAGCGGAAAAUGGCCAAAGUCAGUGUUUGCAAGUGUUGUACUUGUCUGGAACUGUUGAAAAUGCAUUGUGAGCACGUUUCAGGCCAUUUCCUGUCAUUUGAGGGCGACUUUGCAAAAAGGGGUGUCAUACCGCUUUUGACCAGAGGUGGUGCUGCACAUGUCCGACGGUUAGGGUUAGGGUGAGACUUUGGGCAAGGGGUUAGGGUUAGGGGGUUAGGGCUGGAGCUAGGGUUAGGGUUAGGGUUGGAGCUAGGGUUAGGGUUAGGGUUGGAGCUAGGGUUAGGGUUAGGGUUAGGAAAAUGUGAAGAUUUUCCCAAAAUCUGAAGAUUUUCCUAAGUGCGGACCCAAUUUUUCACCUUCCAGAAUUGUGUUAGGAGCACGUUUCAGGCCACGGGGAGUCCAUAGAACCUGAUUGUGGGUGAAGUUUUCGGGGGUUGGAGCUUUGGGGCAGGAUAUAGGGAUAUGUGCCACUUUUGACAUGCCGGUUCAUUGCCUUUCCCAUUGAUGAACCGGGCUGAGAUUUGGUCUACCCCCCCAUUUUCGGGUAUGCUGAAUCUAGAAAUAGUAAUGAACCAGCGAUCGGACAUUCCUAUCAAAAGUUAUGGCGAAGUGAAAAUUUCCCAUUGAAAAUGAAUGGGAGCGGAAAAUGGCCAAAGUCAGUGUUUGCAAGUGUUGUACUUGUCUGGAACUGUUGAAAAUGCAUUGUGAGCACGUUUCAGGCCAUUUCCUGUCAUUUGAGGGCGACUUUGCAAAAAGGGGUGUCAUACCGCUUUUGACCAGAGGUGGUGCUGCACAUGUCCGACGGUUAGGGUUAGGGUGAGACUUUGGGCAAGGGGUUAGGGUUAGGGUGGAGCUAGGUUAGGGUUGUUGGAGCUAGGGUUAGGGUUAGGGUUGGAGCUAGGGUUAGGGUUAGGGUUGGAGCUAGGGUUAGGGUUAGGGUUAGGAAAAUGUGAAGAUUUUCCCAAAAUCUGAAGAUUUUCCUAAGUGCGGACCCAAUUUUUCACCUUCCAGAAUUGUGUUAGGAGCACGUUUCAGGCCACGGGGAGUCCAUAGAACCUGAUUGUGGGUGAAGUUUUCGGGGGUUGGAGCUUUGGGGCAGGAUAUAGGGAUAUGUGCCACUUUUGACAUGGCGGUUCAUUGCCUUUCCCAUCGAUGAACCGGGCUGAGAUUUGGUCUACCCCCCAUUUUCGGGUAUGCUGAAUCUAGAAAUAGUAAUGAACCAGCGAUCGGACAUUCCUAUCAAAAGUUAUGGCGAAGUGAAAAUUUCCCAUUGAAAAUGAAUGGGAGCGGAAAAUGGCCAAAGUCAGUGUUUGCAAGUGUUGUACUUGUCUGGAACUGUUGAAAAUGCAUUGUGAGCACGUUUCAGGCCAUUUCCUGUCAUUUGAGGGCGACUUUGCAAAAAGGGGUGUCAUACCGCUUUUGACCAGAGGUGGUGCUGCACAUGUCCGACGGUUAGGGUUAGGGUGAGACUUUGGGCAAGGGGUUAGGGUUAGGGUGGAGCUAGGGUUAGGGUUAGGGUUGGAGCUAGGGUUAGGGUUAGGGUUGGAGCUAGGGUUAGGGUUAGGGUUAGGAAAAUGUGAAGAUUUUCCCAAAAUCUGAAGAUUUUCCUAAGUGCGGACCCAAUUUUUCACCUUCCAGAAUUGUGUUAGGAGCACGUUUCAGGCCACGGGGAGUCCAUAGAACCUGAUUGUGGGUGAAGUUUUCGGGGGUUGGAGCUUUGGGGCAGGAUAUAGGGAUAUGUGCCACUUUUGACAUGCCGGUUCAUUGCCUUUCCCAUCGAUGAACCGGGCUGAGAUUUGGUCUACCCCCCAUUUUCGGGUAUGCUGAAUCUAGAAAUAGUAAUGAACCAGCGAUCGGACAUUCCUAUCAAAAGUUAUGGCGAAGUGAAAAUUUCCCAUUGAAAAUGAAUGGGAGCGGAAAAUGGCCAAAGUCAGUGUUUGCAAGUGUUGUACUUGUCUGGAACUGUUGAAAAUGCAUUGUGAGCACGUUUCAGGCCAUUUCCUGUCAUUUGAGGGCGACUUUGCAAAAAGGGGUGUCAUACCGCUUUUGACCAGAGGUGGUGCUGCACAUGUCCGACGGUUAGGGUUAGGGUGAGACUUUGGGCAAGGGGUUAGGGUUAGGGCUGGAGCUAGGUUAGGGUUAGGUGGAGCUAGGGUUAGGGUUAGGGUUGGAGCUAGGGUUAGGGUUAGGGUUGGAGCUAGGGUUAGGGUUAGGGUUAGGAAAAUGUGAAGAUUUUCCCAAAAUCUGAAGAUUUUCCUAAGUGCGGACCCAAUUUUUCACCUUCCAGAAUUGUGUUAGGAGCACGUUUCAGGCCACGGGGAGUCCAUAGAACCUGAUUGUGGGUGAAGUUUUCGGGGGUUGGAGCUUUGGGGCAGGAUAUAGGGAUAUGUGCCACUUUUGACAUGCCGGUUCAUUGCCUUUCCCAUCGAUGAACCGGGCUGAGAUUUGGUCUACCCCCCAUUUUCGGGUAUGCUGAAUCUAGAAAUAGUAAUGAACCAGCGAUCGGACAUUCCUAUCAAAAGUUAUGGCGAAGUGAAAAUUUCCCAUUGAAAAUGAAUGGGAGCGGAAAAUGGCCAAAGUCAGUGUUUGCAAGUGUUGUACUUGUCUGGAACUGUUGAAAAUGCAUUGUGAGCACGUUUCAGGCCAUUUCCUGUCAUUUGAGGGCGACUUUGCAAAAAGGGGUGUCAUACCGCUUUUGACCAGAGGUGGUGCUGCACAUGUCCGACGGUUAGGGUUAGGGUGAGACUUUGGGCAAGGGGUUAGGGUUAGGGCUGGAGCUGGAGCUAGGGUUAGGGUUAGGGUUGGAGCUAGGGUUAGGGUUAGGGUUGGAGCUAGGGUUAGGGUUAGGGUUAGGAAAAUGUGAAGAUUUUCCCAAAAUCUGAAGAUUUUCCUAAGUGCGGACCCAAUUUUUCACCUUCCAGAAUUGUGUUAGGAGCACGUUUCAGGCCACGGGGAGUCCAUAGAACCUGAUUGUGGGUGAAGUUUUCGGGGGUUGGAGCUUUGGGGCAGGAUAUAGGGAUAUGUGCCACUUUUGACAUGCCGGUUCAUUGCCUUUCCCAUUGAUGAACCGGGCUGAGAUUUGGUCUACCCCCCAUUUUCGGGUAUGCUGAAUCUAGAAAUAGUAAUGAACCAGCGAUCGGACAUUCCUAUCAAAAGUUAUGGCGAAGUGAAAAUUUCCCAUUGAAAAUGAAUGGGAGCGGAAAAUGGCCAAAGUCAGUGUUUGCAAGUGUUGUACUUGUCUGGAACUGUUGAAAAUGCAUUGUGAGCACGUUUCAGGCCAUUUCCUGUCAUUUGAGGGCGACUUUGCAAAAAGGGGUGUCAUACCGCUUUUGACCAGAGGUGGUGCUGCACAUGUCCGACGGUUAGGGUUAGGGUGAGACUUUGGGCAAGGGGUUAGGGUUAGGGCUGGAGCUAGGUUAGGGGGUGGAGCUAGGGUUAGGGUUGGAGCUAGGGUUAGGGUUAGGGUUGGAGCUAGGGUUAGGGUUAGGGUUAGGAAAAUGUGAAGAUUUUCCCAAAAUCUGAAGAUUUUCCUAAGUGCGGACCCAAUUUUUCACCUUCCAGAAUUGUGUUAGGAGCACGUUUCAGGCCACGGGGAGUCCAUAGAACCUGAUUGUGGGUGAAGUUUUCGGGGGUUGGAGCUUUGGGGCAGGAUAUAGGGAUAUGUGCCACUUUUGACAUGCCGGUUCAUUGCCUUUCCCAUCGAUGAACCGGGCUGAGAUUUGGUCUACCCCCCAUUUUCGGGUAUGCUGAAUCUAGAAAUAGUAAUGAACCAGCGAUCGGACAUUCCUAUCAAAAGUUAUGGCGAAGUGAAAAUUUCCCAUUGAAAAUGAAUGGGAGCGGAAAAUGGCCAAAGUCAGUGUUUGCAAGUGUUGUACUUGUCUGGAACUGUUGAAAAUGCAUUGUGAGCACGUUUCAGGCCAUUUCCUGUCAUUUGAGGGCGACUUUGCAAAAAGGGGUGUCAUACCGCUUUUGACCAGAGGUGGUGCUGCACAUGUCCGACGGUUAGGGUUAGGGUGAGACUUUGGGCAAGGGGUUAGGGUUAGGGCUGGAGCUAGGUUAGGGUUAGUUGGAGCUAGGGUUAGGGUUAGGGUUGGAGCUAGGGUUAGGGUUAGGGUUGGAGCUAGGGUUAGGGUUAGGGUUAGGAAAAUGUGAAGAUUUUCCCAAAAUCUGAAGAUUUUCCUAAGUGCGGACCCAAUUUUUCACCUUCCAGAAUUGUGUUAGGAGCACGUUUCAGGCCACGGGGAGUCCAUAGAACCUGAUUGUGGGUGAAGUUUUCGGGGGUUGGAGCUUUGGGGCAGGAUAUAGGGAUAUGUGCCACUUUUGACAUGGCGGUUCAUUGCCUUUCCCAUCGAUGAACCGGGCUGAGAUUUGGUCUACCCCCCCAUUUUCGGGUAUGCUGAAUCUAGAAAUAGUAAUGAACCAGCGAUCGGACAUUCCUAUCAAAAGUUAUGGCGAAGUGAAAAUUUCCCAUUGAAAAUGAAUGGGAGCGGAAAAUGGCCAAAGUCAGUGUUUGCAAGUGUUGUACUUGUCUGGAACUGUUGAAAAUGCAUUGUGAGCACGUUUCAGGCCAUUUCCUGUCAUUUGAGGGCGACUUUGCAAAAAGGGGUGUCAUACCGCUUUUGACCAGAGGUGGUGCUGCACAUGUCCGACGGUUAGGGUUAGGGUGAGACUUUGGGCAAGGGGUUAGGGUGGGGUUAGGGUUGGAGCUAGGGUUAGGGUUAGGG
RNAcentral lists this long non-coding RNA (7777 nucleotides) under Xyrichtys novacula (pearly razorfish). The record is from RNAcentral. Lineage: Eukaryota; Metazoa; Chordata; Actinopteri; Labriformes; Labridae.